Molecule: non-coding RNA, 678 nt
Organism: Biomphalaria pfeifferi
Lineage: Eukaryota; Metazoa; Mollusca; Gastropoda; Planorbidae
Source: the annotation of a GenBank genome assembly
UGUCAUUUACUUUCUUUUUAUUCUAGAAAGUGAAAUAAAAAAAUAAAUUGUUUUUUUUUUAGAAAAGUUUUUGUUUGUUUGGCUAAAACAAAUUAUGAAACAUUGAGGUCAAACCUCUUAAAUAUUCAUUUAGUUCAAAUGCUUUGUGUUCACUACUUUUCUGUUGUAUAUAAUUUAAAUAUAACUAGUACAAUAAUAAGUUCAAACCAAAAUCACAUCAUGCAUGUAAAAAUUAUGAUUGGAAUAUUUGGCAAGAGUUGAUUGUAAACUAAGUCCAUUUUAAGACGUUAUAAUAAAAAUAUGAAUAAAAAAUAAAUAAUUUGUAUCACAGUUUCUCUUGUGAUAUGUACAUAUAUAGGAGCAUGCUAUUCACAAAAAAACUUUGUUGUAAUUCUGACAUGAUAUCUACAAGUGUACAUAUAUAACGUCUAUCUGAUUUUUAUCAGUACAUUCCAAUGAUUUAUAUAGUUUGUGAUUAUGAAAGUGUUUACAACGCAAUUUAAUCACCAGCCAAUAGACUUUUGAAUCAUGCAUACAUAUGUGGGGUUUAUGUUAGAAACACAUGAAUAGAAGUUAUGCAAGUAUUUUAAAAAAAUUAACUUAUGAAAUAUUCACAAAAUACUGAAGAUUAGACUCUUUUUUUUGAGACAAGCUCUGGUUUUAGUGGCGGGGGGGGGG